This 497-nucleotide ribosomal RNA is filed under the name uncultured bacterium. Its description in RNAcentral is "partial 16S ribosomal RNA". It matches the Rfam family "Bacterial small subunit ribosomal RNA", at positions 28 to 507 of the family's 1533-position model. The record is from RNAcentral.
GAUGAACGCUGGCGGCGUGCCUAAUACAUGCAAGUCGAGCGGACGGACGAGAAGUUUGCUUUUCUGUUGUUAGCCGCGGACGGGUGAGUAACACGUGGAUUACCUCCCUAUAUGACUGGGAUAACUUCGGGACACCGUCGCUAAUCCCGGAUAAUAUUUUUAUCCGUAUGGUUCUAAAGUGAAAUACGGUCUUGCUGUCACUUAUCGAUCUAUCCGCUGUGCAUUAGCUAGUUGGUAAGGUAACGCCUUACCAAGGCAACGAUGCAUAGCCGACCUGAGAGGGUGAGCGGCCAUAAGGGGACGGAGAGACGGUCCAGAAUCCAAAGGGAGGCAGCAGUAGGAAAGCUGCCGGAAGUGGCGAAAGCCUGACGGAGCAACGCAGCGUGAGUGAUGAAGGUCGUCGGAGCGUAAAACGCUGUUAGUAGGGAAGAACAUAUGGGUAAGUAACUGGGCACAUCGUGACGGUACCUAAACAGAAAGCCACGGCUAACUACGUG